UACGUAGGGUGCGAGCGUUGUCCGGAAUUACUGGGCGUAAAGAGCUCGUAGGUGGUUUGUCGCGUUGUUCGUGAAAACCGGGGGCUUAACCCUCGGCGUGCGGGCGAUACGGGCAGACUGGAGUACUGCAGGGGAGGACUGGAACUCCUGGUGUAGCGGUGGAAUGCGCAGAUAUCAGGAGGAACACCGGUGGCGAAGGCGGGUCUCUGGGCAGUAACUGACGCUGAGGAGCGAAAGCGUGGGGAGCGAACAGG
Molecule: ribosomal RNA, 254 nt
Filed under: uncultured bacterium
Lineage: Bacteria
Description: partial 16S ribosomal RNA
Rfam family: Bacterial small subunit ribosomal RNA
Source: RNAcentral